UACGUAGGGUGCAAGCGUUAAUCGGAAUUACUGGGCGUAAAGCGUGCGCAGGCGGUGAUGUAAGACAGAUGUGAAAUCCCCGGGCUCAACCUGGGAACUGCAUUUGUGACUGCAUCGCUGGAGUGCGGCAGAGGGGGAUGGAAUUCCGCGUGUAGCAGUGAAAUGCGUAGAUAUGCGGAGGAACACCGAUGGCGAAGGCAAUCCCCUGGGCCUGCACUGACGCUCAUGCACGAAAGCCAGGGGAGCGAAAGGG
Molecule: ribosomal RNA, 253 nt
Filed under: uncultured bacterium
Lineage: Bacteria
Description: partial 16S ribosomal RNA
Rfam family: Bacterial small subunit ribosomal RNA
Source: RNAcentral